RNAcentral lists this ribosomal RNA (478 nucleotides) under uncultured bacterium. RNAcentral describes it as "partial 16S ribosomal RNA". It matches the Rfam family "Bacterial small subunit ribosomal RNA", at positions 28 to 506 of the family's 1533-position model. The record is from RNAcentral.
GAUGAACGCUAGCGGGAGGCCUAACACAUGCAAGCCGAGCGAUAGAGUUUCUUCGGAAACUUGAGAGCGGCGCACGGGUGCGUAACACGUGUGCAACCUACCUUUAUCUGGGGGAUAGCCUUUCGAAAGGAAGAUUAAUACCCCAUAAUAUAAUGAUUGGCAUCAAUUAUUAUUGAAAACUCCGGUGGAUAGAGAUGGGCACGCGCAAGAUUAGAUAGUUGGUGAGGUAACGGCUCACCAAGUCAAUGAUCUUUAGGGGUCCUGAGAGGGAGAUCCCCCACACUGGUACUGAGACACGGACCAGACUCCUACGGGAGGCAGCAGUGAGGAAUAUUGGACAAUGGGUGAGAGCCUGAUCCAGCAAUCCCGCGUGAAGGAUGACGGGCCUAUGGAGUGUAAACUUCUUUUGUACAGGGAUAAACCUACCCUCGUGAGGGUAGCUGAAGGUACUGUACGAAUAAGCACCGGCUAACUCCGU